UCCGUAGGUGAACCUGCGGAGGGAUCAUUACAGAGUUCAUGCCCUCCGGGUAGAUCUCCCACCCAUUGCUAUAACUACUCUCGUUGCUUUGGCGGGCCGCCGGCCCCGGCUGGCGCGUGCCCGCCAGAGACCUCACAGACCCUGAAUGUUAGUGUCGUCCGAGUAACUAUACAAUCGUUAAAACUUUCAACAACGGAUCUCUUGGUUCUGGCAUCGAUGAAGAACGCAGCGAAAUGCGAUAAGUAAUGCGAAUUGCAGAAUUCAGUGAGUCAUCGAAUCUUUGAACGCACAUUGCGCCCUGUGGUAUUCCGCAGGGCAUGCCUGUUCGAGCGUCAUUUCAACCCUCAAGCCUCACUUGGUGUUGGGCCCUGCCCGCCGCGGCCGGCCCUAAAGAUAGUGGCGGCGCCGCCUGGCCCUCAGCGUAGUACAGCUCUCGCUCCAGGGUCCGGCGGCAGCCUGCCAGAACCCCCCAACUCUGUGGUUGACCUCGGAUCAGGUAGGGAUACCCGCUGAACUUAAGCAUAUC
RNAcentral lists this ribosomal RNA (526 nucleotides) under uncultured Oidiodendron. RNAcentral describes it as "eukaryotic LSU rRNA". The stretch from base 182 to 335 matches the Rfam family "5.8S ribosomal RNA". The record is from RNAcentral. Lineage: Eukaryota; Fungi; Ascomycota; Leotiomycetes; Myxotrichaceae.